Long non-coding RNA from Cavia porcellus (domestic guinea pig), 1572 nucleotides. RefSeq lists it as uncharacterized. Lineage: Eukaryota; Metazoa; Chordata; Mammalia; Rodentia; Caviidae. The transcript has 6 exons. The record is from RefSeq and is a predicted model, not a curated record.
AUAUAACAUGAUUAACAGUCACAUGGGGACUUUAGUGCAAGUGUAACAAGGAAAGGAGCCUACGUGGGUGACGGAGGAUCGAACUCACUACCUCAUGCUCGCCAGGCAAGCACUAUACACUCACUCUUGGUUGAUUACUGAAGCCCCUGAUCAAUUUCUGAGUUACAGCCUCUCAUCUUGAAGCUCAAACCCAGUUGACAUUCCUAGAGCUAUGUGGCUCUGCCAUCUCGCUGGGCUCAACCAUUUACAGGGAGACACAAGAGCCAACUGAAGGGAGAAGGAGGUAACUUAGCCAGCUCUGCACUUAUCAGCACAUGGAGACAAGGCCUGGUUUCACUAAUGUGGAGCUAAUUGUUCUGCCUUCAAGGACAGCCAUCCAAAUGGUCUUCUACCAUUCUUUUUUAUCCAGAAGUUGAAUGGUGCCAGAUCUGGUGAACUACACAGACGAAGACACACUGUCAAGUCCUUGUGAGCCUGCUUUUCUAGUAGAAGAUGCUUGGUAGCAACAUUCCCCAUAUUUUUUGAUCACACCUUGUAAAGACACUCAGGAAAGAAGACUUUCAGAAUUGCUUCAGGAAACGGCAAGAACGAUGGGAUGACAGUGCAGUGAGAAGGAAUGCUUUGAGAAGUUAAAGCAUCCAAGAAACGGCAAGAUGGCAGUUUUGCAAAAAUACCCAGUUUCCUGUUUUCAUCGCGUCCUUGAUCAUUUUCUCAGCGAUGGGUCCUUGUCCCUGCCCCAGGGAAAUGGACUGCACUCUGCAUUGAACAACAAUAAAAGACUGUUUUAUGCCAUUCUCAAGCAAUGCAGAUAGUCUGAAAAAUGCAAACAAAGUAUGAGAAACUCUUGCCCAGAUUACACAAGCCUUUAAUACUAAUUUGGAUAGAUGUGCAAACAGUUUUCAUAUUUUUAAAGACAUUUUUACUGUAAUCCACACAUAGAAAAGUGCAAGAACCAAACAUACAGCUCUAUGAAUGAUCACAAAUAAAUAUCUAUGGUUGAGAAGAAAACUUUGCUGACAUCCAGAGACAUGUCGCCCAUGUCUCUCUCUGUCCCAAUCAUUUUUCUCUUUCCUUCUUCCCAAAGGUGACCACUGUCCUAAUUUCCAAUAAGCAUUGCAGGUCAGUUUUGAAAAAAAAGCUUGAAAAAAUUAAGUGCAGCGUAUGUACAGAGGAAGUGCACCAGCACUUGUGUAUGGCUUACUGAAGUCUCCCAGAGUAAAUGUGCAGUGGUUCCAUUAUUCAGACCAAAAUACAGGCCAUGGCUGCAUCCUUACCAUCAGCAUCCAUCUGAUCCUCAAAGGCAAGAACAAUGUAGAAUUCUAACACUACAGAUUAAUUUUUGAAUUUUAUAGGAAUGAAUCACAUAGUGCAUAUUAUUUUCUAUUAUCUAUCAAUCAACAUGUUUUUAGAUUCAUGUCAUUAUAUAGUUAAUUGACUUUCAUUGCUGUAUAAUAUUCCAGUAUAUGACUGUACCACAAUUUAUUCAUCCAUUCUGUUCUUGAUGGAUAUUAUUUCUGGUUGUUGAUUAUUAUACAUAGUGUUUCUGAAAAUAAAAUCAUUUUUGUACAUGUC